UUGAAAGGGAAACGAUUGAAGUCAGUCGUACCGACGAGAAAUCAACUUAUCGUGUGUUAACUUGUGGGCGUGCGUGAGUUUCGGCCUCGCUGUUUGCAUGUUUGUUCUUUUUGGGUGUACUUUUUCGUAUGGUAGGCCAACAUCAGUUUUCGAAUAUCAUAAAAUGACCGGAGGAAUGUAGCUUCGAUCUUGUAUUGAAGUGUUAUAGCCUUUGGUAGAUGUGGUGUUUGGGACUGAGGAUUGCAACGAAUAUCCUUUGGGCUAUCCGUCUGAUCUCUGAAAGUUGCUUAGGUGCUGAAAGCGUGCUUACGGUUAUUUAAGUUGACGGUCAACAGGUUAGAACGUGAUUACAUUCGUUAAGGAUGUUGACGUA
This 373-nucleotide ribosomal RNA is filed under the name uncultured Glomeromycotina. RNAcentral's name for it is "LSU rRNA". Lineage: Eukaryota; Fungi; Glomeromycota. The record is from RNAcentral.